CCUACGGGUGGCUGCAGUGAGGAAUCUUCGGCAAUGGACGAGAGUCUGAACGAGCCACGUAGCGUGAAGGAUGACUGCCCUAUGGGUUGUAAACUUCUUUUAUAUGGAAAUAAAAUGUUCCACGUAUGUGAUUUUGUAUGUACCAUAUCAAUAAGGAUCGGCUAACUCCGUUCCAGCAGCCGCGGUAAUACGGAGGAUCCGAGCGUUAUCCGGAUUUAUUGGGUUUAAAGGGCGCGUAGGUUGAUUGUUAAGUCAGUUGUGAAAGUUUGCGGCUCAACCGUAAAAUUGCAGUUGAAACUGGCAGUCUUGAGUACAGUAGAGGUGGGCGGAAUUCGUGGUGUGGCGGUGAAAUGCU
This 355-nucleotide ribosomal RNA is filed under the name uncultured bacterium. RNAcentral describes it as "partial 16S ribosomal RNA". It matches the Rfam family "Bacterial small subunit ribosomal RNA", at positions 338 to 690 of the family's 1533-position model. The record is from RNAcentral.